GACGAACGCUGGCGGCGUGCUUAACACAUGCAAGUCGAACGGAAAGGCCCUGCUUUUGUGGGGGGCUCGAGUGGCGAACGGGUGAGGAACACGAGAGUAACCUGCCCUUGACUUUGGGAUAACUUAAGGAAACUGGGGCUAAUACCGGAUAGGAGCUCCUGCUGCAUGGUGAGGGUUGGAAAGUUUCUGCGGUUGGGGAUGGACUCGCGGCUUAUCAGCUUGUUGGUGGGGUAGUGGCUUACCAAGGCUUUGACGGGUAGCCGGCCUGAGAGGGUGACCGGCCCCAUUGGGACUGAGAUGCGGCCCAGCCUCCUACGGGAGGCAGCAGUGGGGAAUAUUGCACAGUGGGCGGAAGCCUGAUGCGACAGCGCCGCGUGCGGGAUGACGGCCUUCGGGUUGUGAACCGCUUUCGCCUGUGACGAAGCGUGAGUGACGGUAAUGGGUAAAGAAGCACCGGCUAACUACGUG
This 468-nucleotide ribosomal RNA is filed under the name uncultured bacterium. RNAcentral describes it as "partial 16S ribosomal RNA". It matches the Rfam family "Bacterial small subunit ribosomal RNA", at positions 28 to 507 of the family's 1533-position model. The record is from RNAcentral.